AGUGAACGCUGGCGGUAGGCCUAACACAUGCAAGUCGAACGGCAGCACAGUAAGAGCUUGCUCUUACGGUUGGCGAGUGGCGGACGGGUGAGGAAUACAUCGGAAUCUUCUUUUUCGUGGGUGAUAACGUAGGGACACUUACGCUAAUACCUCAUACUACCUACGGUUGAAAGCAGGGGAUCUUCGGACCUUGCGCGAUUGAAUGAGCCGAUGUCGGAUUAGCUAGUUGGCGGGGUAAAGGCCCACCAAGGCGACGAUCCGUAGCUGGUCUGAGAGGAUGAUCAGCCACACUGGAACUGAGACACGGUCCAGACUCCUACGGGAGGCAGCAGUGGGGAAUAUUGGACAAUGGGCGCAAGCCUGAUCCAGCAAUGCCGCGUGAGUGAAGAAGGCCUUCGGGUUGUAAAGCCCUUUUGUUGGGAAAGAAAAGAAGCAGGUUAAUACCCCGAUGUUCUGACGGUACCCAAAGAAUAAGCAACGGCUAACUUCGUG
This 492-nucleotide ribosomal RNA is filed under the name uncultured bacterium. RNAcentral describes it as "partial 16S ribosomal RNA". It matches the Rfam family "Bacterial small subunit ribosomal RNA", at positions 29 to 507 of the family's 1533-position model. The record is from RNAcentral.